Molecule: long non-coding RNA, 1073 nt
Filed under: Oncorhynchus mykiss (rainbow trout)
Lineage: Eukaryota; Metazoa; Chordata; Actinopteri; Salmoniformes; Salmonidae
Description: lncRNA (ENSOMYG00000065571.1)
Source: RNAcentral
GUACAGGGAUGCAAGGAGGCGUCAAGACCAGCUUCUGCUGCAACAAACCCAUCAGACCAGGCUGAGACGGAGAGGGGGGCUGAGCAGAAAGCAAGAAGGAGCUUCCUUUGCUUUUCAAUGACCAAACUCAGGAUCAACUUCAAGCGUUCCAAGAGAGGAAACAAAAAGGACUGCCAUUCAGUCCAAGACCAGACUGAGAUUCCCUCUACUGAUGGACAUUGCAUAGGUAAGGAUGUUUUAGAGCUCUGCUAUAGCUUGUAGUUUUGUUUAGGUGUGUGUUAGAAACAUAGGAAUGCCUACCAAACUCAUAGCACUGUUAUUUUUCAACGUUACUAUACUGCAUCUCUCUCUCUCUCUCUCUCUCUUACCCCAUCCAUUUCUCUUGUGUUUCUAGCUCCAGUUGGAGAGGUUUCUCCCUCCAUAUCUCAGCCUGUCAAAAAACGAUCCUUGAUUGUCAGGGUCUUUUCAGCAAUGAUGAAGCCAUUCAGGCGCUUCACCAAGAAGAACCUGUAACCUGUUACGCUGCAUGAAGAACUACUUAUGUAACAGCAAUACUUUUGACAAGAGGAAUUUCUGCAUGUCUACCCUUUCAAAGUCUAUUUGAUCAAAUAAAUGCCAUUGAUUUUACAAGAAUUUCAAGUGUUUUGGAAGAUUGAUUUUCUCAGAGAAAUGCACUAGUUCCCCCUUGGUUACACAUUUAUUGUGCAGUUUUUGAGUUGGCAGGACAUAGGGCGUCAGGUAGCCUUGUGGUUAGAGCAUUGGGCCAGUAACCGAAAGGUUGCUAGGUCAGAUCCCUGAGCUGGCCAUGUAAAAAAUAUGUUGUUCUGCUCCUGAACAAGGUAGUUAACCCACUGUUCCUAAGCUGUCAUUGUAAAUAAGAAUUUGUUCUGAAGUGACUUGUCUAGGAAAAUAAAUAAAAUAACCACAGCUUGACUCUAAUACAAUAGUUGCUGCAUAGACUAUCAGAUAACCAGAUGUUCUCUAUUAAUUUAGUUAGAUUGGUAAGAGCUUAUUAGCAGCAAGGGGAAAACACAUAGAGGAGAAUUACAUAUCUGUAGCUAGAUCAACCCUCU